UNGAAAAGUGACUACAAGUAUUCCAUCUUC
RNAcentral lists this non-coding RNA (30 nucleotides) under Mus musculus (house mouse). The record is from RNAcentral. Lineage: Eukaryota; Metazoa; Chordata; Mammalia; Rodentia; Muridae.